RNAcentral lists this ribosomal RNA (333 nucleotides) under Triticum aestivum (bread wheat). RNAcentral's name for it is "partial small subunit ribosomal RNA". The record is from RNAcentral. Lineage: Eukaryota; Viridiplantae; Streptophyta; Magnoliopsida; Poales; Poaceae.
AUGACAAAGUGUGGUCACCACUACGCGAUUUACCUUGACCUGAAGAACCAACGUUUUGAGGUGCUUGAUUCAAUGCGUUCAGAAGCUGAUGCAGACCUUACUACACAUGCUGAAUACUUCAUCAACAACCUCAAAGAGACAUGGAACUGUCACUACGAAAACUCAAGGGUCCAGAUCGGUCAUUUUCCUAUCGAGUAUGUCGCGGCUAUGAAGGAAGGAAACCGGACUGACAGUGGCUUUCACAUGUUGGAAUACCUUGCAAAGUGGGAAGGCCGACGGGUCUCUGUCCUCAUAGCUGCAAUGGUCGUUGAGCUCCGCAAAAUAUACACAUAG